CCACCGCACAAACUAACAAAGAGGUUAUGUUUGCAUCUAUUUUUCAAUGAUUUUUCAUUGUUUAUCGUCGUAUUUUGGAUUCAUUUGGAUUUCGUUUCCUGUUUUUGUGAACUUUAUAAACUUUACCACAAUGCAAACUGAUUAUUUAAGGAAAUUAUUAUUGGAAACUCCAGAUGUUGCGAGAAAGGUAGGCGAAACAAUUUUUUUUACUGUUCAUUUUGCCCCGAUAUUUAUCAAUAAUGAUGAAUUUUGCAAGCAAUAACAUUAUUUCUUUUAUUGUUCUAGAUAUUUAUUGAAGCUGAAAAUAAUUGGGGAUUUAGAUCCAUACGCAAUUCAGUCAGAAUUGGAUUUUACAGUAAAGUGCAGUCCAUCAAGUUACUAUUAUAGAUAUUUAUACAUAUCUGGUGGAAUCUGAUAUGUCACAGUUGCUACUCUAAGCAGCAGAUGAAAGCAUACAAAAGCCUUCAGGCACAUAAAUAUUUUACAGCUGGAUUUGUUUUGAAUGGAGUAAAAAUUGUUAAUGAUUUCCUGAUUUCCAUAUUAUUGUCGGAAAGGUGAAGCAUUUCCAAAAAACCUUGCUAAACGACUAAAUGCUUGGGUGGGGUGAUAGCCAGUUCUGAUGACAUAGCAAAUUUACAUUGUAUGCGUAUGGCCGGUAAUAGUGAAGUCUGCAGCCAUAUUGCAGCAAUCCUAUUUUUAGCUUAGUAUGCUCAGGGCAAGACAGACGAAGAAGAACCCAAUGUAUGUACAUAUGUUACAGCUACAUGGUUUGGAGAUAGCAACAUAUGCAUUCUCUGAUGAAAAACUAAUGAGUUUUGAAACUGUUCAGUCAGAGUGCUUGUUGCGCUCACUAAACGAAUUGAAAUAUAAGAUGGCUUUGGCAUUGUGUUGCAGCGAUAUGAAAAUGGUUAUUCAUUUUUAAUUAUAAUGUUCUUCUUCAUCAUGAGUAAUUAUGUAUUGGUCUUUUAAAUGUGUAUUUAUUUUUGUAAUUAGUAUCAACUUGUAAUGAUAAUAUACAUUUAUCGUUUAAGGUAUGACUAUGUUUUGACUCUAAAAUAAAUGUUUUAAAAAUCGAA
This 1076-nucleotide long non-coding RNA is filed under the name Diabrotica virgifera virgifera (western corn rootworm). RNAcentral describes it as "uncharacterized LOC126890364". The record is from RNAcentral. Lineage: Eukaryota; Metazoa; Arthropoda; Insecta; Coleoptera; Chrysomelidae.